This 247-nucleotide ribosomal RNA is filed under the name uncultured bacterium. RNAcentral describes it as "partial 16S ribosomal RNA". It matches the Rfam family "Bacterial small subunit ribosomal RNA", at positions 523 to 769 of the family's 1533-position model. The record is from RNAcentral.
AUACGGAGGGUGCAAGCGUUGUUCGGAAUUACUGGGCGUAAAGGGCGCGUAGGCGGCGCUGUAAGUCAGAUGUGAAAGUCCACGGCUCAACCGUGGAAGUGCAUCUGAUACUGCAGCGCUUGAGUAUCGGAGGGGAAAGUAGAAUUCCCGGUGUAGAGGUGAAAUUCGUAGAUAUCGGGAGGAAUACCGGUGGCGAAGGCGACUUUCUGGACGAAUACUGACGCUGAGGUGCGAAGGCGUGGGGAGC